This 620-nucleotide ribosomal RNA is filed under the name uncultured Pseudocohnilembus sp. RNAcentral describes it as "bacterial SSU rRNA". It matches the Rfam family "Eukaryotic small subunit ribosomal RNA", at positions 4 to 580 of the family's 1831-position model. Lineage: Eukaryota; Ciliophora; Oligohymenophorea; Philasterida; Pseudocohnilembidae. The record is from RNAcentral.
CUGGUUGAUCCUGCCAGUAGUCAUAUGCUUGUCUCAAAGAUUAAGCCAUGCAUGUCCAGGUAUAAAUAGUAUACACCGAAACUGGGAAUGGCUCAUUAAAACCGUUAUAGUUUAUUUGAUAAUCAUAAGCUACAUGGAUAACCGUGGUAAUUCUGGAGCUAAUACAUGCAGUCAAACCCGACCUUCGGAAGGGUUGUAUUUAUUAUAUAUCAAGCCAAUACUCCUUCGGGUUUAUUGUGGUGAAUCAUAGUAACUGAUCGAAGCCCUCAGGGCUAAAUCAUUCAAGUUUCUGCCCUAUCAACUUUCAAUGGUAGUGUAUUGGACUACCAUGGCAGUCACGGGUAACGGGGAAUUACGGUUCGAUUCCGGACAGGGAGCCUGACAAACGGCUACCACUUCUAAAGAAGGCAGCAGGCGCGUAAAUUACCCAAUCCCAAUUCGGGGAGGUAGUGACAGGAAAUAACAACCUGGGGGGCUUUGCCCUUACGGGAUUGUAAUGGGAACAAUGAAAAAACUUUAUCAAGGAACAAUUGGAGGGCAAGUCUGGUAAUCGACCCUGCCCGUGAAAUGAACACAAUUUAAAACGCUUUCGCGAGGAACAGUUGGAGGGCAAGUCUGGU